This 433-nucleotide long non-coding RNA is filed under the name Fukomys damarensis (Damara mole-rat). RNAcentral's name for it is "lncRNA (ENSFDAG00000022240.1)". The record is from RNAcentral. Lineage: Eukaryota; Metazoa; Chordata; Mammalia; Rodentia; Bathyergidae.
GCUCUUCCUGGCUCUUCGCUUCUUUCUCCUGUCCCUGGCCACCAUGAAGUGAUCAGCUUUCCUCCACCCAUGCACUUCUACCAUACCACUGACCAUGCACAGACUGAAAUGUGUGACACAUGAGCCAAAAUAGCUUUGGAUGUCAGGCAUUGUGUCCCAGUGAUGAGAAAGUGAAUAAUAUGGAUUUUGAUACUGGAAAAUUAUUGCUGUGAUUUACCCGACCAUGUGCUUUAGAAGCCAUUGGAACUGGAAUUGUAGGAGGCUGGCUAGAGAAGACAAACCUUUUGUCUUGACUGUCUUCUUUUUAUACAUCCCUCAUUUAAGUGUACAUCUGGACCUGGGGCCCCAAAAAGGAGAAUACACAGAGCUUGGACUUGUGGCACAAGACAUCCAUGCAUGCACAUGUGUGUGAUACAUAGACCUCUUAUGCUGG